GAAUGCAUGAGGUUAGAAAUCGGUGCAGAGGCUGGAGCGUUAGUCACAUCUGGGCACAUCCAGCUGUGUGCAGAGCCAGCAGGGAGCCCGGCCAUCAGUUUGGGCGAAGCCUGCCCCAUGCAGCGGACGGGCCGUGCGCUGGGCUGCCGUGCCCUGGGCUCCCUGCAGCGAGCAAACCAGCCGUGAGCCGAUGCAACGUGACAGCGGGUUGGAGGAGAAGAGCAUCCUGCACUACCUGCAACAUGGACAGCAGAAGUGGAUUUGAGUCAUGAGAAUCAAAGGUAAAAGGAAAAUAAAAACGUCAUGGAGAAGAAGCAUGAGAAACCCUCAGAGCAGCAAGAAUGAAUGUGGCACCAAGGACAGCGACUCUGGGCAGGGAAGAGCUAAGAGGGAAGCAAAGAGCCAUGUGGGAAGAGCAGCAGGUGAUACUAAAAUUAUAUAUACAGCCUUAAAGGGGAGGAAAAGGGGUUUGGACUUGUCUGGGAAGUCUGAGAAAUGGUUCAAGGAGGUGAGCAGCUCUUCAAGGUGCGGGAGGAAGGUUAUUUUGGUAACAGGCACAAACGAUAGGACAGCUGGGCAUGGAGUGAGGAGAAGAAAGAGCCUCUGUUCUACUAACACCAGCCCAUACUAUCCUCCCAAAAAGCAUCUCCCUGGCAAGGCUGAAGAAAUAGCAUUAUUUUAGAGGGGAGUUGAGGCACAGAAGUUUAUUUUCUGUCUUGAUCCAAGACAUGCAGAAAGUCUGUAGAUGGGCAGGGAGCUGAUGUGCCAGAUCUCUUGAUUUCUAGCCCAGCAGUGUUUCCCCAUCUGCCUGCCUUUCUCUAGCCUUCCAGUGGUUUGGCAAAGCCUCAGUAGAUGAUGGUAAAGAAAGGAUGUAGUGGUGCAAUAAUAAAGAGAAUAAAAAGUA
Pseudopipra pipra is the source of this 904-nucleotide long non-coding RNA. RefSeq lists it as uncharacterized. The transcript is spliced from 2 exons. The record is from RefSeq and is a predicted model, not a curated record. Lineage: Eukaryota; Metazoa; Chordata; Aves; Passeriformes; Pipridae.